This 65-nucleotide transfer RNA is filed under the name Teredorus nigropennis. RNAcentral's name for it is "tRNA-Ala". It matches the Rfam family "tRNA". From Rfam's summary of the family: Transfer RNA (tRNA) molecules are approximately 80 nucleotides in length. Their secondary structure includes four short double-helical elements and three loops (D, anti-codon, and T loops). RNAcentral also lists the same sequence under 2 other names. The record is from RNAcentral. Lineage: Eukaryota; Metazoa; Arthropoda; Insecta; Orthoptera; Tetrigidae.
AGGGUAAUAGUUAAAAAUAACAUUUGAAUUGCAAUCAAAAAGUAUUGAUAAAUCAAUUUACCUUA